UUUUGCCUACGGGAGGCAGCAGUGAGGAAUAUUGGUCAAUGGGAGGAAUCCUGAACCAGCCAUGCCGCGUGCAGGACGACGGCUCUACGAGUUGUAAACUGCUUUUGUACCGGGGUAAAAUGCCUUACGAGUAGGGUUUUGAAAGUACGGUACGAAUAAGGAUCGGCUAACUCCGUGCCAGCAGCCGCGGUAAUACGGAGGAUCAGAGCGUUAUCCGGAUUCAUUGGGUUUAAAGGGUGCGUGGGUUGUUUUAUACGUUAGCAGUGAUAUACCGAUGCUC
This 280-nucleotide ribosomal RNA is filed under the name uncultured bacterium. RNAcentral's name for it is "partial 16S ribosomal RNA". It matches the Rfam family "Bacterial small subunit ribosomal RNA", at positions 333 to 610 of the family's 1533-position model. The record is from RNAcentral.